This 372-nucleotide ribosomal RNA is filed under the name uncultured fungus. RNAcentral's name for it is "eukaryotic LSU rRNA". The stretch from base 1 to 124 matches the Rfam family "5.8S ribosomal RNA", at positions 30 to 154 of the family's 154-position model. Lineage: Eukaryota; Fungi. The record is from RNAcentral.
GCAUCGAUGAAGAACGCAGCGAAACGCGAAAGGUAAUGCGAAUUGCAGAAUCAGUGAGUCAUCGAAUCUUUGAACGCACAUUGCGCCUCUCGGUAUUCCGGGAGGCACGCCUGUUCGAGCGCCAUUACAAACUCCAAGCGUGGCUUGAUGUUGGGCGAUGUCUUUUUGCGAGAGCGGAGACACGUCUGGAACGCGUUGGCGCCGCCGCCGGACCACGAGCGUAGCAAGACGAGAGUCAAUCGCAUCGAUUUGGAUUCCGACGGAGGUCCGCUAUGGGACUGCACUCUCGAGUGUAAGUUCACAACUUCUCAAGUUUGGCCUCGGAUCAGGCGGGGAUACCCGCUGAACUUAAGCAUAUCAAUAAGCGGAGGA